AUGGCGAACAUCGACAUGGCGGCGGUGCUGGCGGACAUGGACCGGGACGCGGCGGCGGACGCGCGGACGCCGCGGACCAAGCUCGUGUGCACGCUCGGCCCGGCCUCCCGCUCCGUGCCCAUGCUCGAGAAGCUGCUCCGCGCCGGGAUGAACGUCGCGCGCUUCAACUUCUCCCACGGCACCCACGAGUACCACAAGGAGACCCUCGACGCCCUCCGCCAGGCCAUGCACAACACCGGCAUCCUCUGCGCCGUCAUGCUCGACACCAAGGGACCUGAGAUUCGUACUGGAUUUUUGAAGGAUGGUAAACCAAUCAAACUGACAAAGGGUCAAGAAAUCACUGUUUCCACUGACUACGAUAUCAAGGGCGACACGAACACCAUCUCCAUGAGCUACAAGAAACUUCCUCAGGAUGUGAAGCCUGGGCAUGUCAUACUAUGUGCUGAUGGUACCAUCUCCUUGUCUGUUCUGUCUUGCGACCCAGCAGCUGGAACUGUCAGAUGUAGGUGUGAGAACACUGCAAUGCUUGGAGAGAGGAAGAAUUGUAAUCUGCCAGGAAUUGUCGUGGACCUUCCUACGCUGACGGAGAAGGAUAAGGAGGACAUUUUGGGAUGGGGUGUGCCUAAUGACAUUGACAUGAUUGCUUUGUCAUUUGUCCGCAAAGGAUCAGAUUUGGUGACCGUCAGGCAGCUUCUUGGACAGCAUGCAAAGCGCAUCAAGUUAAUGUCAAAGGUUGAAAACCAAGAGGGCAUUGUAAACUUUGAUGACAUUCUGAGGGAAACCGAUGCCUUUAUGGUUGCCAGAGGUGAUCUUGGAAUGGAGAUUCCAGUUGAGAAGAUAUUCCUUGCACAGAAAAUGAUGAUCUACAAGUGCAACCUUGCUGGCAAGCCUGUGGUCACAGCGACCCAGAUGCUUGAGUCAAUGAUCAAGUCCCCGAGGCCAACCCGUGCCGAGGCUACUGACGUCGCAAAUGCGGUGCUUGAUGGAACUGACUGUGUCAUGCUCAGUGGUGAAAGCGCUGCCGGAGCAUACCCUGAGGUGGCUGUGAAGAUCAUGGCGCGCAUCUGCGUGGAGGCGGAGUCUUCCCUGGACAACGACGCCGUCUUCAAGGAGAUGAUCAAGGCCGCGCCCCUCCCGAUGAGCCCGCUGGAGUCCCUCGCGUCCUCGGCCGUGCGAACCGCCAACAAGGCCAGGGCCACUCUGAUCGUCGUCCUGACCCGUGGCGGCACCACGGCGAAGCUGGUGGCCAAGUACCGGCCCAGGGUGCCGAUCCUGUCGGUGGUCGUCCCGGUGCUGACGACCGACUCGUUCGACUGGACCGUCAGCUCCGAGGGCCCCGCCAGGCACAGCCUGAUCUACAGGGGCCUGAUCCCGCUCCUCGCCGAGGGCUCCGCCAAGGCCACCGACUCGGAGUCGACGGAGGAGAUCCUCCAGGCGGCGCUCAAGUCGGCCGUGAAGAAGCAGCUCUGCAAGGCUGGUGACGCCGUCGUCGUCCUGCACCGCAUCGGCGUCGCCUCCGUCAUCAAGAUCUGCACCGUCAAGUGA
RNAcentral lists this ribosomal RNA (1545 nucleotides) under Triticum aestivum (bread wheat). Its description in RNAcentral is "partial small subunit ribosomal RNA". Lineage: Eukaryota; Viridiplantae; Streptophyta; Magnoliopsida; Poales; Poaceae. The record is from RNAcentral.